UGGUGAACUCCACAUCCGCAUCCUUUGCUGAGGAUACGGUUAACGGAGCGAAAGCGACGUUCAACCGCAAAACAAGCAGAGGGGGCUUAGUGGUGGGGUGACUGCGUACCUUUUGUAUAAUGGGUCAGCGACUUAUAUUCUGUAGCAAGGUUAACCGAAUAGGGGAGCCGGAGGGAAACCGAGUCUUAAUUGGGCGUUAAGUUGCAGGGUAUAGACCCGAAACCCGGUGAUCUAGCCAUGGGCAGGUUGAAGGUUGGGUAACACUAACUGGAGGACCGAACCGACUAAUGUUGAAAAAUUAGCGGAUGACCUGUGGCUGGGGGUGAAAGGCCAAUCAAACCGGGAGAUAGCUGGUUCUCCCCGAAAGCUAUUUAGGUAGCGCCUCGUGAAUUCAUCUCCGGGGGUAGAGCACUGUUUCGGCUAGGGGGCCAUCCCGGCUUACCAACCCGAUGCAAACUGCGAAUACCGGAGAAUGUUAUCACGGGAGACACACGGCGGGUGCUAACGUCCGUCGUGAAGAGGGAAACAACCCAGACCGCCAGCUAAGGUCCCAAAGUCAUGGUUAAGUGGGAAACGAUGUGGGAAGGCCCAGACAGCCAGGAUGUUGGCUUAGAAGCAGCCAUCAUUUAAAGAAAGCGUAAUAGCUCACUGGUCGAGUCGGCCUGCGCGGAAGAUGUAACGGGGCUAAACCAUGCACCGAAGCUGCGGCAGCGAACGUAUCACCCAAGACAACUUUACGGAGUUGACGAUUGACGGAGCGAAGCGACGUCAAAGCGUUCAUUAAAGUCGAGUUGGCUUAGGGAUACGUUCGUUGGGUAGGGGAGCGUUCUGUAAGCCUGUGAAGGUGUGUCGUGAGGCAUGCUGGAGGUAUCAGAAGUGCGAAUGCUGACAUAAGUAACGAUAAAGCGGGUGAAAAGCCCGCUCGCCGGAAGACCAAGGGUUCCUGUCCAACGUUAAUCGGGGCAGGGUGAGUCGACCCCUAAGGCGAGGCCGAAAGGCGUAGUCGAUGGGAAACGGGUUAAUAUUCCCGUACUUGGUGUUACUGCGAAGGGGGGACGGAGAAGGCUAUGUUGGCCGGGCGACGGUUGUCCCGGUUUAAGCGUGUAGGUGUGUGUUCCAGGUAAAUCCGGUUCACUUUAACACUGAGGCGUGACGACGAGGCACUACGGUGCUGAAGCAACAAAUGCCCUGCUUCCAGGAAAAGCCUCUAAGCAUCAGGUAACACGAAAUCGUACCCCAAACCGACACAGGUGGUCAGGUAGAGAAUACCAAGGCGCUUGAGAGAACUCGGGUGAAGGAACUAGGCAAAAUGGUGCCGUAACUUCGGGAGAAGGCACGCUGACACGUAGGUGAAGUGAUUUACUCAUGGAGCUGAAGUCAGUCGAAGAUACCAGCUGGCUGCAACUGUUUAUUAAAAACACAGCACUGUGCAAACACGAAAGUGGACGUAUACGGUGUGACGCCUGCCCGGUGCCGGAA
RNAcentral lists this ribosomal RNA (1479 nucleotides) under Salmonella enterica subsp. enterica serovar Typhimurium. RNAcentral describes it as "partial 23S ribosomal RNA". It matches the Rfam family "Bacterial large subunit ribosomal RNA", at positions 1 to 1874 of the family's 2925-position model. The record is from RNAcentral. Lineage: Bacteria; Pseudomonadati; Pseudomonadota; Gammaproteobacteria; Enterobacterales; Enterobacteriaceae.